ACUUUGGCAGAGCAUACUGUGGACUAAACUUGGAACAACACAUAGAAGGCUCACAUGUCUUCUGCUCAAGUAUGACAUGAAAAAGAAGUGAAGAUUGAACUCUACUC
Molecule: small nuclear RNA, 107 nt
Filed under: Fukomys damarensis (Damara mole-rat)
Lineage: Eukaryota; Metazoa; Chordata; Mammalia; Rodentia; Bathyergidae
Source: RNAcentral